Molecule: ribosomal RNA, 1472 nt
Filed under: Bacillus albus
Lineage: Bacteria; Bacillati; Bacillota; Bacilli; Caryophanales; Bacillaceae
Description: partial 16S ribosomal RNA
Rfam family: Bacterial small subunit ribosomal RNA
Source: RNAcentral
GAUGAACGCUGGCGGCGUGCCUAAUACAUGCAAGUCGAGCGAAUGGAUUAAGAGCUUGCUCUUAUGAAGUUAGCGGCGGACGGGUGAGUAACACGUGGGUAACCUGCCCAUAAGACUGGGAUAACUCCGGGAAACCGGGGCUAAUACCGGAUAACAUUUUGAACCGCAUGGUUCGAAAUUGAAAGGCGGCUUCGGCUGUCACUUAUGGAUGGACCCGCGUCGCAUUAGCUAGUUGGUGAGGUAACGGCUCACCAAGGCAACGAUGCGUAGCCGACCUGAGAGGGUGAUCGGCCACACUGAGACUGAGACACGGCCCAGACUCCUACGGGAGGCAGCAGUAGGGAAUCUUCCGCAAUGGACGAAAGUCUGACGGAGCAACGCCGCGUGAGUGAUGAAGGCUUUCGGGUCGUAAAACUCUGUUGUUAGGGAAGAACAAGUGCUAGUUGAAUAAGCUGGCACCUUGACGGUACCUAACCAGAAAGCCACGGCUAACUACGUGCCAGCAGCCGCGGUAAUACGUAGGUGGCAAGCGUUAUCCGGAAUUAUUGGGCGUAAAGCGCGCGCAGGUGGUUUCUUAAGUCUGAUGUGAAAGCCCACGGCUCAACCGUGGAGGGUCAUUGGAAACUGGGAGACUUGAGUGCAGAAGAGGAAAGUGGAAUUCCAUGUGUAGCGGUGAAAUGCGUAGAGAUAUGGAGGAACACCAGUGGCGAAGGCGACUUUCUGGUCUGUAACUGACACUGAGGCGCGAAAGCGUGGGGAGCAAACAGGAUUAGAUACCUGGUAGUCCACGCCGUAAACGAUGAGUGCUAAGUGUUAGAGGGUUUCCGCCCUUUAGUGCUGAAGUUAACGCAUUAAGCACUCCGCCUGGGGAGUACGGCCGCAAGGCUGAAACUCAAAGGAAUUGACGGGGGCCCGCACAAGCGGUGGAGCAUGUGGUUUAAUUCGAAGCAACGCGAAGAACCUUACCAGGUCUUGACAUCCUCUGACAACCCUAGAGAUAGGGCUUCUCCUUCGGGAGCAGAGUGACAGGUGGUGCAUGGUUGUCGUCAGCUCGUGUCGUGAGAUGUUGGGUUAAGUCCCGCAACGAGCGCAACCCUUGAUCUUAGUUGCCAUCAUUAAGUUGGGCACUCUAAGGUGACUGCCGGUGACAAACCGGAGGAAGGUGGGGAUGACGUCAAAUCAUCAUGCCCCUUAUGACCUGGGCUACACACGUGCUACAAUGGACGGUACAAAGAGCUGCAAGACCGCGAGGUGGAGCUAAUCUCAUAAAACCGUUCUCAGUUCGGAUUGUAGGCUGCAACUCGCCUACAUGAAGCUGGAAUCGCUAGUAAUCGCGGAUCAGCAUGCCGCGGUGAAUACGUUCCCGGGCCUUGUACACACCGCCCGUCACACCACGAGAGUUUGUAACACCCGAAGUCGGUGGGGUAACCUUUUGGAGCCAGCCGCCUAAGGUGGGACAGAUGAUUGGGGUG